Molecule: long non-coding RNA, 1479 nt
Organism: Juglans regia (Persian walnut)
Lineage: Eukaryota; Viridiplantae; Streptophyta; Magnoliopsida; Fagales; Juglandaceae
Exons: 2
Source: RefSeq, a predicted model, not a curated record
UAAUUCUAAAGAGAGAGAGUCCAGGGGAGAAGAACCUUGGAAGACACGCCCCUCCUCUCUCUCUCUCUCGGUUUUCAAAACCAGCAACCAACCCCACUUGUAUUAGGAAUUCACUGAACCCAACCCCUGAUCUCUCUCUCCCCCUCUCUCUGUGUAAUAUCAGUAGUAAUAAUAAUUGUGAUCAUUGAAAUACAGUGCAACAGCCCACAAGUGUAUCAAAAGGAGAGGAGAUACCAAUCCCAUUCCACCCUUCCCAUUCGUUCAUCUAACAUCCAUUCCACCUUUAGAAAUUAAUGUAGCAGAAAACCCACUUCUCAAUUUUUGUGCUUGAAAUUGUCUUGAUUAGUUUUCUAUGCUGCAGGCUACUGACCAGAAAAGAAAGGAUCUGUAAAGGGGUCUGUCUGUCGUGUUGCCUCAUUCGGAAAUUUUCUUAUCACCACAACGGAAGGCUUCGGUAGCUUUUUCAACAUCACUGUUGUUCAACCUCGGAGUCUGGUUGGAUUACUGGGGACGACGUCUCAGGGUUUGCGCAUUGAACAAGUAGCGAUUCUUUUGUGGACAGAUAGAGACAAGUGGUAUUGAUUAGAGGUCGAAGAUGGUUGCGACUGUUGUUUCUUAGAAGGGAUACCCAAAAUCAAUUUUUCUUGCAAGAUUAAGUUUUGAAUCCGCUCUUCAUUUGUAGCUAUUGAAGAAACACUACACUGGGUUGUUAAAGUAGAAGCCGGAAGGAUUGCUACCUUAAGAGGAUUCUCUGAAUUUUAAAUUUGAUUGCAUACUUGAACCAGCAAUUUAACUACGUCACAAGUGUUUUGAGUUUCGAAAAAUCUGGAAGUUUGGACAUUUCUUUGGCAGAUAUAUGGCUCUUUAAAUUCAGAUAUUGUGUGAUUUGCAUCAGUUCAAUCUGAUCUGGGGUGCUGUGAAUUGGGUGGGUGGCUAGGAGAAUUUUAAAUGAGAUUUGAACUUCCUGAAUCGGAUCCGAGAUUGUUGAAAGCUUUGAUUUAUUCACGAAACCACUCUACAAGUCGCAUUAUGGAUGCAAGAACAAGAAAGGUUCCUUCCCCCCUGCUUGAACGAAACAAGAUAGAAUAUCAUCAUCACGGCCAUCAUCAAGGAAAGAAGAUUGAAUACCAACGCACCCUUUCACAUGGGAAGGGGAGCAGCAGAAGAUUGUUGACAACAAGUUACUUCAGCAUAGAGUCAUUGCUUUUACUCGUAUGUCUCACGGCGUCUUUGCUGAUUCUUCCCUUGAUACUUCCACCAUUGCCGCCGCCACCAUUCAUGCUGCUUCUGCUCCCUAUAGGGAUUCUGGCAGUUCUUAUGAUUUUGGCUUUCAUGCCUUCUAACGUGAGGGACAUAACCUAUACAUAUGUAUAAAUGGUGUCAUAAACAUGCAAAUGCACCUCUCUCAUCAUACAAAUUUUGUAACUGCCUCAAUGUUAACAAGAAAUGGAUGAACAGUUCUUUUAUUUCUUAUUGAUA